This 303-nucleotide long non-coding RNA is filed under the name Lathyrus oleraceus (garden pea). RNAcentral's name for it is "Pisum sativum (pea) long non-coding RNA (PSAT_LNC018800)". The record is from RNAcentral. Lineage: Eukaryota; Viridiplantae; Streptophyta; Magnoliopsida; Fabales; Fabaceae.
UAAUUGUUUGAAAACAUCACUUUGUACAAAAUACAUAUGCACACAAAAAGGACUCCCUAGGAGUACCUAGGACAUUUUGGGUGCUAACACCUUCCCUCUGUGUAACCAACCCCCUUACCUGUGAUCUCUGACUUUUAUUAGUUUUUAUUUGAAAACUUCUUACUUAUUGGGUUUUGUUCGUACUUUUUCCCUUUUCCCUUGGUACCUUCCCUCUGUGUAACCAACCCCCUUACCUGUGAUCUCUGACUUUUAUUAGUUUUUAUUUGAAAACUUCUUACUUAUUGGGUUUUGUUCGUACUUUUU